Molecule: small nucleolar RNA, 133 nt
Organism: Micropterus dolomieu (smallmouth bass)
Lineage: Eukaryota; Metazoa; Chordata; Actinopteri; Centrarchiformes; Centrarchidae
Source: RefSeq, a predicted model, not a curated record
UUGGCCUCGAUCAAGACCAGCAGCAUGUAGUAGCUGCUGGUUUCAAAGAGAGCCUAGAUGAACACCUUCCUGUGGUCUGUUGAUUUCUCCAGAGCUGAAAAGGGGAUAAUCUGUUCAGUUGGAAGGAACAAAA